UACGUAGGGUCCGAGCGUUGUCCGGAAUUAUUGGGCGUAAAGAGCUCGUAGGCGGUAUGUCGCGUCUGCUGUGAAAGACCGGGGCUUAACUUCGGUUUUGCAGUGGAUACGGGCAUGCUUGAGGUAGGUAGGGGAGACUGGAAUUCCUGGUGUAGCGGUGAAAUGCGCAGAUAUCAGGAGGAACACCGGUGGCGAAGGCGGGUCUCUGGGCAGUAACUGACGCUGAGGAGCGAAAGCAUGGGUAGCGAACAGGAUUAGAUACCCGCGUAGU
Molecule: ribosomal RNA, 271 nt
Filed under: uncultured prokaryote
Description: partial 16S ribosomal RNA
Rfam family: Bacterial small subunit ribosomal RNA
Source: RNAcentral